UACGUAGGUGGCGAGCGUUGUCCGGAUUUACUGGGCGUCAAGGGAGCGUAGGCGGACUUUUAAGUGAGAUGUGAAAUACUCGGGCUCAACUUGAGUGCUGCAUUUCAAACUGGAAGUCUAGAGUGCAGGAGAGGAGAAUGGAAUUCCUAGUGUAGCGGUGAAAUGCGUAGAGAUUAGGAAGAACACCAGUGGCGAAGGCGAUUCUCUGGACUGUAACUGACGCUGAGGCUCGAAAGCGUGGGGAGCAAACAGG
This 253-nucleotide ribosomal RNA is filed under the name uncultured bacterium. RNAcentral describes it as "partial 16S ribosomal RNA". It matches the Rfam family "Bacterial small subunit ribosomal RNA", at positions 524 to 776 of the family's 1533-position model. The record is from RNAcentral.